Gossypium arboreum is the source of this 107-nucleotide non-coding RNA. Lineage: Eukaryota; Viridiplantae; Streptophyta; Magnoliopsida; Malvales; Malvaceae. The record is from Rfam.
AUACCAUGAUGAGGGCAUUUUCGGAAUAGUUCCUUAAAUUUCUCCCAUGCCUUAUACAAGGUCUCAUCAUCAGCUUGUUGAAAGAUAGAAAUUUUAUUUCAGAAUUU